Paramuricea clavata is the source of this 304-nucleotide non-coding RNA. The record is from the annotation of a GenBank genome assembly. Lineage: Eukaryota; Metazoa; Cnidaria; Anthozoa; Malacalcyonacea; Plexauridae.
GGCCCUGACAAGCAAACGUCCCCUGUCUUCACUUGAGAGGAAUUUGACAGCAAUUUUUAUUAUCCUAAAGCUGUGAAAAAGCACGAGGAAGAAGCAGUGAAUCGUUAUCUGCAAUAAACGAUAUAGCCAACCUCCGUGAAGUCGCCCAGAACAAUUGGUUUGCUUUAAAGGUUGAAGUUGACAUGUGCAAUUUGUGAAAAAUACUCAGUAUGGUUCUCAGUCGCUCAAAAAAACAAGUGAUCGUACGAGAUCCCACAGGAUCAAUUAAACUCACUAUGUGAGAAGAUUAUGUUGAAUGUCUCGA